Molecule: transfer RNA, 62 nt
Filed under: Sminthopsis psammophila (sandhill dunnart)
Lineage: Eukaryota; Metazoa; Chordata; Mammalia; Dasyuromorphia; Dasyuridae
Description: tRNA-Lys
Source: RNAcentral
CCUCUUUGAGAAACCAGUAUAAUACUUCAGUAUUAUUAGAGCCUAGCACCUCCUCAAAGCCU